RNAcentral lists this ribosomal RNA (253 nucleotides) under uncultured bacterium. RNAcentral describes it as "partial 16S ribosomal RNA". It matches the Rfam family "Bacterial small subunit ribosomal RNA", at positions 524 to 776 of the family's 1533-position model. The record is from RNAcentral.
UACGGAGGGCGCGAGCGUUACCCGGAUUUACUGGGUGUAAAGGGCGUGUAGGCGGUCUCUCAAGUCCGAUGCUAAAGACCGAAGCUCAACUUCGGGGGUGCGUUGGAUACUGUGAGGCUAGACGGUCGGAGAGGGUAGCGGAAUUUCCGGAGUAGCGGUGAAAUGCGCAGAUACCGGAAGGAACGCCAAUAGCGAAGGAAGCUACCGGGACGAUUGGUGACUCUGAGGCGCGAAAGCGUGGGGAGCAAACCGG